RNAcentral lists this ribosomal RNA (253 nucleotides) under uncultured bacterium. RNAcentral's name for it is "partial 16S ribosomal RNA". It matches the Rfam family "Bacterial small subunit ribosomal RNA", at positions 524 to 776 of the family's 1533-position model. The record is from RNAcentral.
UACGUAGGGGGCUAGCGUUGUUCGGAAUUACUGGGCGUAAAGGGCGCGUAGGCGGCCAUUCAAGUCAGGUGUGAAAGCCCUGGGCUCAACCUAGGAAUUGCACUUGAUACUGUUUGGCUUGAGUCCGGGAGAGGUGAGUGGAAUUCCCAGUGUAGAGGUGAAAUUCGUAGAUAUCGGGAGGAACACCGGUGGCGAAGGCGGUUCUCUGGGCCUUGCCUGACGCUGAGGAGCGAAAGCGUGGGGAGCGAACAGG